Molecule: long non-coding RNA, 769 nt
Organism: Juglans microcarpa x Juglans regia
Lineage: Eukaryota; Viridiplantae; Streptophyta; Magnoliopsida; Fagales; Juglandaceae
Exons: 3
Source: RefSeq, a predicted model, not a curated record
AGUCUCUACCAUUCUCAUCAACUUCCACUCCAUCAAAGUUCGUUUCCCAUUCCAACUUUAUCUUAACCCUUUCGAAAAUUCGAGCUGUUCCUGAUCAGAAUCCGCGUUCCUGUUGUUCACGAAGAAAACUUUCUGUCGAGAACGCUGCUAAUAAUCAAAAGCAGGAGCUGAAGCAACCCGUUACCCAAGAUGAAAGUUUGUUGUUCUUUUCCGAUUUACUUACCAUUUGUUACGGGUAGAGCAUUGCUAAAAUCAAUUGGGGAUUUAGAGCUUUCAGGGGCUUAUGCAGAGGCUUUGAGAAAGAUGGGGCAUGAUUGAUGUAGCUAGGCUGGUCAGAUAGUUCGACAAUACAACAAUUCAUCUGCUCUUGUGGAUCGCUUCUAGUUUGCUAAUAGUGAAGAACUCCAAUAUGAAUGGAGGGAAGAAAAAAAGAAGAAGAAUCAAGUUCAAGGUUGCAUCCUUCCUCGAGGAGAAAUCUGGCUAUGUUGUCAAGCCUGAUGGAAUGUUUGGUGUCCAGGUUAUUCAAUAAUGAUGAACUAUAUAUAUAUUCUUUGUUCUCUUUUAAGUUGUUUCUGUUUUAUUGAAUACGAUACCAUGCAAAACAAGAAUCAUAUUCUGUUUUUUCACUGAGUUUGUCGUAUAUCGUGUAAAGAAACAGAACCAUAAGAGGAGCUACGAACAGUUGGAGCAUAUCUUUGAGAGGCACAAAAGCCAAAAGCUUGCUUUUGUUUAUACAACUCAUAUGGAUAAUGUGAAUCAUCUUUUGGUA